Molecule: long non-coding RNA, 1260 nt
Organism: Echinops telfairi (small Madagascar hedgehog)
Lineage: Eukaryota; Metazoa; Chordata; Mammalia; Afrosoricida; Tenrecidae
Exons: 3
Source: RefSeq, a predicted model, not a curated record
UUUCAUUUUAUUUGUUAUUCAUUUUAUACAUUUUAGUGACUUAUUUUUAAAUUGAUUAAAUUGUUUUAAGACAUGAUCACAUACCCUACAGCGCACCCCUGUAGUAUGUAUUGUUGUUGUUUUGAAUAUAUUCACAUAGUUGUGCAGCCACCACCACAAUCACUUUCAGAGUAUGUUUUCCUUCACAACGAAUGAACCUGAUUUAUAACUUCCAUGUGUUAGGACGUUAUCGAGCCUCUCGGGUGAUAGGGCUCAGCUGAUGAAAUUGCAAACCCCAGAGCCCUUGGGUGGAAUUAUCCUUGGUAGUGGGAGGAGAAAGCAGGAACGCAGUUUCGCCGGGAUAGGCAGCACCAGGGAGAAUGACAGAAGUCAGAGAGGGUGGAAGCUACGUUAAGACGUUUGCCCAACAUCAUUCAGUGGGGAGGUAAUAGAGCUGGGAUUUGAGACUUGUAUCCCAGAUGUCCCCAGGAAAGAGGACAUGUAGAGUGGGCACCAAGUCUAGGGAACUGCAACAUUCAAGGGGAUGGUAAGGGUUGGCCCAGGAGAGGUCCGAUUCUGAUCAUGGUGGGGGAAGAGACAGAUGUUAGCAUGGAUUUGAGGACAUUGAGGGUAGACUCUUCAUUUGGGGAACUCGCUUGAGGGGAGAGAGGGCAGCAGCUGACGGGGAAGGUGUGAGGAAGAGUGAGGGGGAAGAGCCCUCCCUGGCUGACAGGGAUUGACGAGUAUGGAGCGACUCUGGAGCGACUCGGACAGUUGAUGGCUCACUUCAGUGACUUCUCUGAGAUGGCAUGGGCCCCUCCUGACGGCAUGUCCGAAGGACGUGAGAUGAAGGCGAGCCAUCCUCACUUCUGCAGGCUGUGCUUCUUCCAAUUCAGAUAUCUCCAUAUUUCCAGUGGUAUAGUCGAUAUCCUUCACCAGCACCAUGAUGCAGAGGUCUGUGACUAGCAGAGGGGGGACGUGAACGUGGUGGCGUGGUCAGCUAAGUUUCAGCCCACCAGUGGCUCUCAGGAGAAAGUCGAGGCUGUAGGCUCCCAUCAAGGUCGAUGAAGCCGCUGAGACGCCACGGAGGACUGCAGUGAGUGGACAUCCACUGGACGGGAGUGGGUCUGAUGUCGGUGGACACGGACACGUCGCUUUCUUGUAUUUUGUCGUCUCGGCCUUUGCAUAUGUCAUUUUCCACAGACGGAAGGUCUGUGCAGCCAUUUUCCAGUGUCUGGGUCACAUUCUGGCAAUUCUCCCAGAACGUCCCAAAUUGCUGUU